This 253-nucleotide ribosomal RNA is filed under the name uncultured bacterium. Its description in RNAcentral is "partial 16S ribosomal RNA". It matches the Rfam family "Bacterial small subunit ribosomal RNA", at positions 524 to 776 of the family's 1533-position model. The record is from RNAcentral.
UACGUAGGUCCCGAGCGUUGUCCGGAUUUAUUGGGCGUAAAGCGAGCGCAGGUGGUUUAUUAAGUCUGAUGUGAAAGCCUUCGGCUUAACCGGAGUAGUGCAUUGGAAACUGGGAGACUUGAGUGCAGAAGAGGAGAGUGGAACUCCAUGUGUAGCGGUGAAAUGCGUAGAUAUAUGGAAGAACACCAGUGGCGAAAGCGGCUCUCUGGUCUGUGACUGACGCUGAGGUUCGAAAGCGUGGGUAGCAAACAGG